GAUGAACGCUGGCGGCGUGCUUAAGACAUGCAAGUCGAACGCAACUCUGGCAGCAAUGUUGGGGUUGAGUGGCGAAUGGGUGCGUAACACGUAGGUGACCUGCCCGGAAGUGGGGAAUAACAGUCCGAAAGGACUGCUAAUACCGCAUGCGACCGCGGGGACGGAAGUUCCCGCGCUCAAAGGUCAAGCGUAAGCGCGAUCGCUUCCGGAGGGGCCUGCGGCCCAUCAGCUCGUUGGUUGGGUAACGGCCAACCAAGGCGACGACGGGUAGGGGACCUCAGAGGGUGGCCCCCACACUGGCACUGACACACGGGCCAGACUCCUACGGGAGCAGCAGUCGGGAAUAUUGCCCAAUGCGCGACAGCGUGAGGCAGCAACGCCGCGUGCGCGAUG
RNAcentral lists this ribosomal RNA (393 nucleotides) under uncultured bacterium. RNAcentral's name for it is "bacterial SSU rRNA". It matches the Rfam family "Bacterial small subunit ribosomal RNA", at positions 28 to 410 of the family's 1533-position model. The record is from RNAcentral.